RNAcentral lists this ribosomal RNA (250 nucleotides) under uncultured bacterium. RNAcentral describes it as "partial 16S ribosomal RNA". It matches the Rfam family "Bacterial small subunit ribosomal RNA", at positions 524 to 773 of the family's 1533-position model. The record is from RNAcentral.
UACGAAGGGGGCUAGCGUUGUUCGGAAUUACUGGGCGUAAAGCGCGCGUAGGCGGUCCGCCAAGUCGGGGGUGAAAGCCCGGGGCUCAACCCCGGAACGGCCUCCGAGACUGGCGGACUGGAGUGCGGAAGAGGGUCGUGGAAUUCCCAGUGUAGAGGUGAAAUUCGUAGAUAUUGGGAAGAACACCGGUGGCGAAGGCGGCGACCUGGUCCGUAACUGACGCUGAGGCGCGACAGCGUGGGGAGCAAAC